Molecule: unclassified non-coding RNA, 428 nt
Filed under: plant metagenome
Description: partial contains 5.8S ribosomal RNA, internal transcribed spacer 2, and large subunit ribosomal RNA
Rfam family: 5.8S ribosomal RNA (bases 1-105)
Source: RNAcentral
GAAUUGCGAUAAGUAAUGUGAAUUGCAGAAUUCAGUGAAUCAUCGAAUCUUUGAACGCACCUUGCGCCCUCUGGUAUUCCGGAGGGCAUGCCCGGUUGAGUGUCAUGAAUAUCUCAACUCUAACAUUUUGUUAACGGUCUUAGGGGUGAAUCCUGUGGUCUAGCGAGGCUGCGGGUAGUAAUCCUUAGGACUAAAGUGUUAGAGAUUGGACUUGAGUUCUGUUGGCCCGCUGGGUUGACUGACUUGAAAUUGAUUAGCGAUGCGUGAUCCCUUGGUUCCACUCGGCGUGAUAAGUUAUCUAUCGCUGAGGACACUGUAAAAGGUGGCCAAGGUAAAUGCAGAUGAACCGCUUCUAAUAGUCCAUUGACUUGGACAAUACUUUUAUGAUCUGAUCUCAAAUCAGGUAGGACUACCCGCUGAACUUAAGC